UACGUUGCGGGUUAUCUCAUGGACGAACCAUGAGAACGAAGGAUUCUGUCCACCUUAUUGGCCUGCCGUCCGUACGUUUCCAAUUCGUUUGUCUCCACUCUUAUUUGUUAUGAUAGACACUUUAUAUCUGGCGGCUGGCGUUUCAUGUAUAAUACACAUUGCCUUUUGGGAUUUUUGCAUAUAUUGGCGAUAGUAGGGUGUGUAAAAAAGGAAAAAGUUAAAAAAAAUUUUUUUUCAAAAAAAAUGGAGAAGAAGGAGAAGCAGACAGUACAAGGGAUGGGAGGGGUUGGAGUGGCCCAAAAAAAUCGAGAAGCGCACAUUCAGGGGGGCUCUUGUUCACAGUAUGAGCACGGCGAUGUAUACC
Molecule: small RNA, 364 nt
Filed under: Histoplasma capsulatum
Lineage: Eukaryota; Fungi; Ascomycota; Eurotiomycetes; Onygenales; Ajellomycetaceae
Also listed under: 1 other name
Description: hypothetical RNA
Source: RNAcentral